Molecule: long non-coding RNA, 1423 nt
Filed under: Ficedula albicollis (Collared flycatcher)
Lineage: Eukaryota; Metazoa; Chordata; Aves; Passeriformes; Muscicapidae
Description: lncRNA (ENSFALG00000019742.2)
Source: RNAcentral
GCCUUAAUGAGGUUUGGGAGGUUUUUGUUGCUUUAAUCGAACUUUUUGUGCUUUUCCAGGCUGGGAGAGCACCCAGAGGUGCUGGUGGCAGAGGGGGUGGCACCGUGUCCCCCCUGCUUGGGUGGGCAGGGAAUAUCCCGGGCUGGGGCGAAGUGGAUCCAUGGGUUUGGGAACGCGGCGAUGGAAGGGCAGAACUUCCCCUGGGAAGGGAGAAUCCUCCCCCCAAACCCAUCCCCGUCCCUCCCCAGCCCCCGGAAACUCCCCCUGGAUCCUUCCCUUCUCCGGGUGAGCGUUCCCGGAGCUGCUCCAGGUGCUGCCGGUGAUGGGAACCCCGCACAAAUCCCUGAUGGGAGCCGGGCAGGGCUGAGCUGGGAUGGGCACAGGGACACUGAGGGCGCACCUGGAAUGCUGCAGGAGGAGAGCGCGGGCUGCGGGAUCGCCGGGAUUUCCUCAGCUGCUUCCACGGCUGGGGUUAAUUAAUGACUCAUUAAAGCCCCUCCCCGAGGCUUUGCCGUCGUCGGGACUCGGGGCGCAGCAUUCCCAGAGGGACCUGGGGAGACCUUGGGGCUCCCGGGGCCUGAAGGAGUUUCAGGUGAGCCGGAGAGGGGUUGGGGACAAGGGAUGGAGGGACAGGACCCUGCCGGAGGGAUGGACGGACGGGAUUUUGGGAAGGAAUUCCCAGAGAAGCUGUGGCUGCCCCUGGAUCCCGGGAAUUUUCAGAGCCGGGUUUGGAGCGGCCCCAUCCCGCUGCUGCUCCGCAAUUCCGAGCUUUGGAUCCUUCUCCGGCUCCGUCCCCUCGCCACAAUCCCCCAAAAAACUCCCCAAAAACCCCUCGGGGCAUUCCCCACCUUUGCGUGCCAUUAACCGCAACCCCGGGCUGGAAUUGCCGAGCCCGGAGCUGCCCCGGCAGCCGCAGGGACCUGUCCCUGCUUUCUGCAGCACUUCCUUAAAUAAUCUGCUUUCCCCAACACUUAACCUCGGGAUCCUCCCCUUGGAACGCGGGCGAGUCUGGCGCGCACUCGCCGGACCACCCUGGGAAGCAAAUCCCGAUAAUUUAUGGAGAGGCUCAGCUGAGAACAGCCCUGAACACCAGCAGAAGCUGGCGACGCCAGGGAGGCUUUCAGAACCUGCCUGGGCGUCGGGAUCAAAGCAGCAGCGAUCCCCUUCCUCACCGGGGGCGCGGGGAACGUCCAGGGGCCCCCAGGAUCCCAGAGCCAGCCCAGGAAUGUCAAGCGGGGCUAAGUGCUCGCCCCAGCGGCACUGCCGGACAAAAGGCGACACUUGGGGACAUUAAAUCGCUCAGGGACAGUCAAGGACUCUUCAAAGCGGCUGCGAAUUGUGUGGCCAAGCUGGGAAACACGAGGCACAGGCUCCUGCUGGCCCGGGCGCGCCUCUCAUCGGGGAAAAGGAUGGAGCAGAGAGA